RNAcentral lists this ribosomal RNA (416 nucleotides) under uncultured bacterium. RNAcentral describes it as "bacterial SSU rRNA". It matches the Rfam family "Bacterial small subunit ribosomal RNA", at positions 29 to 506 of the family's 1533-position model. The record is from RNAcentral.
GUGAAUGCUAGUGAUAUGCUUAACACAUGCAAGUCGAACGGACAGAAAUUGUCAGUGGCGUACGGGUGCGUAAUGUAGAAGAACUGAUACGAGAGUAAGGGAUAGUAAGUAUUUAGAAUACCUUAUAGUGAAAGAUUAAUAUCGCUUUUGGGAGGGCUUCUAUAGGAUUAGGUUGUUGGUUAGGUAAUGGCUGACCAAGCCGAGGAUCUUUAGCUGGUCUUAGCGGAUGAUCAGCCACGCUGGGACUGGAAAAGGCCCAGACUCCCACGGGGGGCAGCAGUGAGGAAUAUUGGACAAUGGGCGAAAGCUUGAUCCAGCAAUAUCACGUGAGUGAGAUGAAGGCGUAUAGGCCCGUAAAGCUCAAAGACUAAGGAGGAUAAUGACGUUACUUAGUGGAAAGUCCUGGCUAACUUCGU